RNAcentral lists this ribosomal RNA (466 nucleotides) under uncultured bacterium. RNAcentral describes it as "partial 16S ribosomal RNA". It matches the Rfam family "Bacterial small subunit ribosomal RNA", at positions 28 to 507 of the family's 1533-position model. The record is from RNAcentral.
GAUGAACGCUGGCGGCGUGCUUAACAUAUGCAAGUCGAACGGAAAGGCCCAAGCUUGCUUGGGUACUCGAGUGGCGAACGGGUGCGUAACACGUGGGUGAUCUGCCCUGCACUUCGGGAUAAGCCUGGGAAACUGGGUCUAAUACCGGAUAGGACCACAUUUUGGAUGGUGUGGUGUAAAGUUUUUCGGUGUGGGAUGAGCUCGCGGCCUAUCAGCUUGUUGGUGGGGUAAUGGCCUACCAAGGCGUCGGCGGGUAGCCGGCCUGAGAGGGUGUACGGCCACAUUGGGACUGAGAUACGGCCCAGACUCCUACGGGAGGCAGCAGUGGGGAAUAUUGCACAAUGGGCGCAAGCCUGAUGCAGCGACGCCGCGUGGGGGAUGACGGCCUUCGGGUUGUAAACUCCUUUCGCUAGGGACGAAGCGUUAUGUGACGGUACCUGGAGAAGAAGCACCGGCUAACUACGUG